Molecule: long non-coding RNA, 688 nt
Organism: Magallana angulata
Lineage: Eukaryota; Metazoa; Mollusca; Bivalvia; Ostreida; Ostreidae
Exons: 3
Source: RefSeq, a predicted model, not a curated record
AGGUUAUUUGCAUAUAAAAGAUAUAAGUAACUUAGCAAACUUGUCUUAAAAUCGUACCCGUCAAGGAACAAUAAUCAAAAUGAAUUCUAAAGUGAACUUUUUUAGAUUUUUUAUUUUGAUUGGAGCAUGUACAUGUCAAUCGUACUAUGAUAAUGUCCCAGCUCGAGAAACGGCUGAGCCAACAUUAAGCGCUGGAGUUAUUUCCGGAAUCGUGAUUGGUGUUUUGGCAUUUGCCUUUUGGUGUUGUUAUUUUUGUGGUGGGAGUUCAUCUGUUGGUUCCUCAUCAGGAUAAAGCUGUUACUGAAGCCGAAAACAUCGAUCAAUGAUUCAGCACACAAUUAACUGUUGACUUCUUUAUCGUUGUAUCACAUCAAACAUUAUUUCCUACUAUUAAACAGAACUAUAGCCGAAAGUCGCUAUCCGAAAUAAGCUAAAAAUUCUUUGAAAAACAGAUUCUUGGUUCAAAAUUUUUAAAAAUGUUUUGACCAUGCCUACAUGUAUCAUUUAUUGAUUGAAAUAUAAGUACAACAUUAUUCAUAAUUGAUCAUGACAAUGUUUUAAUGGUGCUUAAUUUCCUAACAUUUUCUUUAUUGCUAUGCGAUUGAUGAAACUGUAUUGACUUUCUAAUUGUACCUCGUAUCUUUUUCUUUCUGUACAUUUUGUAAAAUAAAAUAAAUGAUAUCGAGAA